GAGGCUGGAAAAGAUCUGAAAAAACUAAGAGAAAGAGUCUUUUAACAGGUUUUGAAACUUCUGAAAGCAAGACUCCUCCAGACCAACCUCCCCACUUCCAACUCCAAAGGCUCUGUGACCUCAGCUGCUGUCCUACCUGCUCCUGCUCCGGAGCCUGUAGCUUUCCCACUGCUCAGCCAUGCUCCUGCUGCUCAUCCCAGUGCUGGAGACGGUUUUUGCCCUGAGUGGGACCAGAGCCCAGUCAGUGACCCAGCCUGACGUCCACAUCACUGUCUCUGAGGGAGCUGCUCUGGAGCUGAGGUGCAAAUACUCAUCUGCUAUUUCAGAGAGUCUCUUCUGGUGCGUGCAAUAUCCCAACCAAGGCCUCCAGCUUCUCCUCGAGUACUUUUCAGGGGCCACUGUGGUUAAAGGCAUCAAAGGUUUUGAAGCUGAAUUUAAGAAGAGUGAAACCAGCUUCCACCUGAGGCAACCCUCAGCCCAUUGGAGCGACUCAGCUGAGUACUUCUGUGCUCUGGUGACACACAGUGUCUGGGACUGCAGGGGGAGAUGA
Molecule: non-coding RNA, 550 nt
Organism: Equus caballus (horse)
Lineage: Eukaryota; Metazoa; Chordata; Mammalia; Perissodactyla; Equidae
Source: the annotation of a RefSeq genome assembly